Molecule: ribosomal RNA, 1167 nt
Filed under: Candidatus Phytoplasma oryzae
Lineage: Bacteria; Bacillati; Mycoplasmatota; Mollicutes; Acholeplasmatales; Acholeplasmataceae
Description: bacterial SSU rRNA
Rfam family: Bacterial small subunit ribosomal RNA
Source: RNAcentral
UUUAAGCGCAUGCUUUAAGACCGGCUUGCGUCACAUUAGUUAGUUGGCAGGGUAAAGGCCUACCAAGACUAUGAUGUGUAGCUGGACUGAGAGGUUGAACAGCCACAUUGGGACUGAGACAGGGGCCAAACUCCUACGGGAGGCAGCAGUAGGGAAUUUUCGGCAAUGGAGGAAACUCUGACCGAGCAACGCCGCGUGAACGAUGAAGUAUUUCGGUAUGUAAAGUUCUUUUAUUGAAGAAGAAAAAAUAGUGGAAAAACUAUCUUGACGAUAUUCAAUGAAUAAGCCCCGGCAAACUAUGUGCCAGCAGCCGCGGUAAUACAUAGGGGGCGAGCGUUAUCCGGAAUUAUUGGGCGUAAAGGGUGCGUAGGCGGUUUAAUAAGUCUAUAGUUUAAUUUCAGUGCUUAACACUGUCCUGCUAUAGAAACUAUUAGACUAGAGUGAGAUAGAGGCAAGUGGAAUUCCAUGUGUAGCGGUAAAAUGCGUAAAUAUAUGGAGGAACACCAGAGGCGUAGGCGGCUUGCUGGGUCUUUACUGACGCUGAGGCACGAAAGCGUGGGGAGCAAACAGGAUUAGAUACCCUGGUAGUCCACGCCGUAAACGAUGAGUACUAAGUGUCGGGAUUACUCGGUACUGAAGUUAACACAUUAAGUACUCCGCCUGAGUAGUACGUACGCAAGUAUGAAACUUAAAGGAAUUGACGGGACUCCGCACAAGCGGUGGAUCAUGUUGUUUAAUUCGAAGAUACACGAAAAACCUUACCAGGUCUUGACAUACUCUGCAAAGCUAUAGCAAUAUAGUGGAGGUUAUCAGGGAUACAGGUGGUGCAUGGUUGUCGUCAGCUCGUGUCGUGAGAUGUUAGGUUAAGUCCUAAAACGAGCGCAACCCUUGUCAUUAGUUGCCAGCAUGUCAUGAUGGGCACUUUAAUGAGACUGCCAAUGAAAAAUUGGAGGAAGGUGAGGAUCACGUCAAAUCAUCAUGCCCCUUAUGAUCUGGGCUACAAACGUGAUACAAUGGCUGUUACAAAGAGUAGCUGAAACGCAAGUUUAUAGCCAAUCUCAUAAAAGCAGUCUCAGUUCGGAUUGAAGUCUGCAACUCGACUUCAUGAAGUUGGAAUCGCUAGUAAUCGCGAAUCAGCAUGUCGCGGUGAAUACGUUCUCCGGAAAA